RNAcentral lists this transfer RNA (72 nucleotides) under Xenocephalus elongatus (bulldog stargazer). Its description in RNAcentral is "tRNA-Gln". It matches the Rfam family "tRNA". Rfam says of the family: Transfer RNA (tRNA) molecules are approximately 80 nucleotides in length. The record is from RNAcentral. Lineage: Eukaryota; Metazoa; Chordata; Actinopteri; Uranoscopiformes; Uranoscopidae. RNAcentral also lists the same sequence under 1 other name.
UAGGAAGUGGUGUAGUUGGGAGCACGGAGAGUUUUGAUCUCUCUAGUUAGGGUUCGAGUCCCUUCUUUCUAA